Molecule: ribosomal RNA, 307 nt
Filed under: uncultured Planctomycetota bacterium
Lineage: Bacteria; Pseudomonadati; Planctomycetota
Description: bacterial SSU rRNA
Rfam family: Bacterial small subunit ribosomal RNA
Source: RNAcentral
AAUGAACGUUGGCGGCGUGGAUUAGGCAUGCAAGUCGAGCGAGAAUCGUAGCAAUACGAGGACAGCGGCGCAAGGGACAGUAAUGUGUAGAUUAUCUGCCCUCAGGUCCGGGAUAGCUGCGGGAAACUGCAGGUAAUACCGGAUAACAUCUCCGGAUCAAAGGUGUGAUUCCGCCUGAGGAUGAGUCUGCAUCCUAUUAGCUAGUUGGCAGGGUAACGGCCUACCAAGGCAUUGAUGGGUAGCGGGUGUGAGAGCACGACCCGCGUCAUUGGGACUGAGACACUGCCCAGACACCUACGGGUGGCAG